Molecule: long non-coding RNA, 521 nt
Organism: Drosophila miranda
Lineage: Eukaryota; Metazoa; Arthropoda; Insecta; Diptera; Drosophilidae
Exons: 2
Source: RefSeq, a predicted model, not a curated record
CGAUUUGCCUUUGGAAAAUAUGUCUCAACUCGAACUUUUUUUUUUUGGGGGGUCUGCAAAUGGCAGUUGAAUUUGCAUAGUGGCACUGGCGUGCAUUGAAUAAAUGGAUUUCCUUCUCUACCACCAAAAACUGUAAAUGGUUAAAUUAUGCAAAAGUCCAAAGGGGGAGAGGGAGAUGGAGAUGGAGAGGGAGAGGGCAGGCUUCUGGCUUUGAUUUCGAGUGUGUUUCGGGUUCGAAACUGAUAGACAGAAAAUCGGCUUUGCCUUGGAAUUGGCGAUGGUUUAUCUCUAAUGGCAUUACGAAGGAUUCUCCAAGGAGAAGGCAACAGAACAGCCUUGGCACCGAGAGGAGCAGCGAUGGGAAUACGACGGGUAUUCCUCCAGGCUCAGAUGUCGUCAGCAGCACAUCGUCAAACACUUCUUGGCCCCCUCCCAGCCCCAUCAGCCCCCUGGCAUUAACGAGUUUACUUUAUGCGGGCCCAAAACAAAAUGUGGGCUAAUAAAAUUGUCAAUAAUGUGGC